AUUGAACGCUGGCGGCAGGCCUAACACAUGCAAGUCGAACGAGUGGCGGAAGGGUGAGUAAUGUCUGGGAAACUGACUGAUGGAGGGGGCUAACUACUGGAAACGGUAGCUAAUACCGCAUACAAUCGGCUGUGCCAAGAUGGGAUUAGCUAGUAGGGGGGGUAAAGGCUAACCUAGGCGACGAUCCCUAGCUGGUCUGAGAGGAUGACCAGCCACACUGGGACUGAGACACUGCCCAGACUCCUACGGGAGGCAGCAGUGGGGAAUAUUGCGCAAUGGGCGCAAGCCUGAUGCAUCCAUGCCGCGUGUAUGAAGAAGGCCUUCGGGUUGUAAAGUACUUUCAGCGGGGAGGCGUUACCCGCAGAAGAAGCACCGGCUAACUCCGUGCCAGCAGCCGCGGUAAUUC
RNAcentral lists this ribosomal RNA (406 nucleotides) under uncultured bacterium. RNAcentral describes it as "partial 16S ribosomal RNA". It matches the Rfam family "Bacterial small subunit ribosomal RNA", at positions 30 to 526 of the family's 1533-position model. The record is from RNAcentral.